GCCUCCCUUGGAUCCUCCGAAGAUCGACUCAGAAGCCACUGACACGAAGACAAAACCUAACCCUAAUCCUUCAAAUUUUGGUGGAUAAAUGUCAGAGAGGGAAAACCAAGAAGCAAAUCAAUUUGGUUGAUAAUUGGUGGAGAAAUGUCAGAGAGGGAAAACCAAGAAGCAAAUCAAUUUGGGGAGAGAUGGUUUGACUCACAAUAUACUGAAUGAUAUUCAUAACCAUUGGAAACAUGAAGAAGCAGUGAGGAUGAAAUGUCAAGGUGUUCCAACUGUUGACAUGAGAAAUAUUUGCACCCAGCUCGAGCUCAGCAAAUCUUUAUGGUUUUGAGCUAAAAAUGGAGAGGGCUUUCUUGGGUUUGAGUUCAAAUAAGAGCUGUGUGAACGUGAAAGAUGAAGCCAAUGAUGAACUCAAGAAUUCAGUGGGCGGUAAAGGAUCGAAAAGUGUAUACCCAACAACAACUUGACGAGGUGCGCAUUGAAGUAGCCGACUACUUACAGACUCUGCUGUAGAUUCUGACCAGUUUCUUGAUUUUGAGUUAGGCUAGCUUUUGAUUAACAUUUUGUAGCAAUUAUGAACAAAAAUGAAUACUAAUUGCUAGGCUAGCCUUGUAGUAGGUGAAUUGGGGUUUUAUUCUGCCCAUUUUGUAAAUUGUUAAGGAUGAUGAUUUCAGAUAAAAUACCCCAAUAUUUCAAAUCACUCUUGUCAAUUGUCG
Molecule: long non-coding RNA, 719 nt
Organism: Rosa chinensis
Lineage: Eukaryota; Viridiplantae; Streptophyta; Magnoliopsida; Rosales; Rosaceae
Exons: 5
Source: RefSeq, a predicted model, not a curated record